UUUUCCUUUGGGGAAUUUCUGCCAGCUUGGAAGACACAUUGCAGAACUAUGUCCUGGCAUUACACUGAAAGAAAUGAGAAGUCAUCACAGCAGAUGAAGAUUCAUUAUGAAGUUGACAAUUGGAGAUUCACCCCGAUGCCGGCAGAGCUCUGCCACAGCACAACCUUUCUAUCUCACAGUGACUCUGAGCUGAAUAUCCUCCCACUCGCUUGCCCCGCUGGAAAUUUGAAAUACCGAAAUUGGAGCAGCUUGCUCCUGUCUCCCCGACUCUUCUCCUCCCCCCAGAUAUGCUAAGCCCCCACCCCAGCCAGACAAUGGAACACCAAAAGCCCAGGGAAGCGAGCUCCUCCCCUGGAAUGAGAAACAGCUCGUGCGCUGCUCACUUACAGCGGAAUAUCAGCGCAGUGCGCCAGAACAGCAGGAGCGGGCCUUGGGACUGAGUCCAGGAAGGCAAGUGUCAGACAGUUUGAAUGGCUCAGCCAGCUUUAUUUUGCCCGGCAUUCAGUCCGGUUUCUGGAGGGCGCUGAUGAAGCUGCGGCAACUCAUUAAUUACCUCGAGACCCGCAGGGAUUUUUGCUAAAGACAGAAAGCCAAUCGUGUUUGGGAGGCCGCCUGGUCAGACGGCCUCCCCACGUCAUCUUUGAUCGAAUCUGAUCAAUAACCUUGAGUUUGUCCUUCCCACAGCCCGGGAAGAUUAUGAGUAUGCUUAAGGUUCAUAAAAUACCAGGCUUCACAAAAACUUGGGGAAGAAAGGUUGUUCAAGUACCAUCUCCAUUGUAAAGAUAAGGAAACUGAGGCUACCGAAGUGUAGAUGACUUGUCAGGGGUCACAGAGGAAACAUUAGAACCCAGGUGUCCUGGCUCUAGGUCCAGUAUACAGGAAUUGGGUUAAGAGUCUGGGCUAUACUACUUACUAUGUGCCCUAUGGUAAAUUACUUCAUCUCUCUGGGUCUCAGUUUCCUCAUUUAUAAAUAAAAUGUGUGUGUGUGUGUGUGUGUGUGUGUGU
RNAcentral lists this long non-coding RNA (1005 nucleotides) under Phascolarctos cinereus (koala). RNAcentral describes it as "lncRNA (ENSPCIG00000017178.2)". The record is from RNAcentral. Lineage: Eukaryota; Metazoa; Chordata; Mammalia; Diprotodontia; Phascolarctidae.